CUUUUCUAAACCUUCUGACCCUGGGCCCUGUGGUGCUGGAGUUGAUGUUCUACCAAGCAGAGGACCGCUGACAGUGCCAGACAGAGAGGGUGGUUGUCCUUGGCAGCUGAGCUGUAAGUAGCUUUUUGUCAAAUCCUCUUGAGAAGGUUCUAUCCUAAAGUUUUUUUUUUUUUUUAAAUUGUUGUUGUUU
RNAcentral lists this long non-coding RNA (190 nucleotides) under Numida meleagris (helmeted guineafowl). Its description in RNAcentral is "lncRNA (ENSNMEG00000008741.1)". The record is from RNAcentral. Lineage: Eukaryota; Metazoa; Chordata; Aves; Galliformes; Numididae.